Molecule: non-coding RNA, 30 nt
Filed under: Homo sapiens (human)
Lineage: Eukaryota; Metazoa; Chordata; Mammalia; Primates; Hominidae
Source: RNAcentral
UCUGUGACAUCCCACCUCGUGGCCUCAAGA